GAGUUUGAUCCUGGCUCAGAUUGAACGCUGGCGGCAUGCCUUACACAUGCAAGUCGAACGGUAACAGGUCUUCGGAUGCUGACGAGUGGCGAACGGGUGAGUAAUACAUCGGAACGUGCCCGAUCGUGGGGGGAUAACGGAGCGAAAGCUUUGCUAAUACCGCAUACGAUCUACGGAUGAAAGCAGGGGACCGCAAGGCCUUGCGCGGACGGAGCGGCCGAUGGCAGAUUAGGUAGUUGGUGGGAUAAAAGCUUACCAAGCCGACGAUCUGUAGCUGGUCUGAGAGGACGACCAGCCACACUGGGACUGAGACACGGCCCAGACUCCUACGGGAGGCAGCAGUGGGGAAUUUUGGACAAUGGGCGAAAGCCUGAUCCAGCCAUGCCGCGUGCAGGAUGAAGGCCUCGGUUGUAAC
Molecule: ribosomal RNA, 415 nt
Filed under: uncultured microorganism
Description: bacterial SSU rRNA
Rfam family: Bacterial small subunit ribosomal RNA
Source: RNAcentral